This 673-nucleotide ribosomal RNA is filed under the name Acinetobacter schindleri. RNAcentral describes it as "bacterial SSU rRNA". It matches the Rfam family "Bacterial small subunit ribosomal RNA", at positions 556 to 1229 of the family's 1533-position model. The record is from RNAcentral. Lineage: Bacteria; Pseudomonadati; Pseudomonadota; Gammaproteobacteria; Moraxellales; Moraxellaceae.
GGGCGUAAGCGUGCGUAGGCGGCUUUUUAAGUCGGAUGUGAAAUCCCUGAGCUUAACUUAGGAAUUGCAUUCGAUACUGGAAAGCUAGAGUAUGGGAGAGGAUGGUAGAAUUCCAGGUGUAGCGGUGAAAUGCGUAGAGAUCUGGAGGAAUACCGAUGGCGAAGGCAGCCAUCUGGCCUAAUACUGACGCUGAGGUACGAAAGCAUGGGGAGCAAACAGGAUUAGAUACCCUGGUAGUCCAUGCCGUAAACGAUGUCUACUAGCCGUUGGGGCCUUUGAGGCUUUAGUGGCGCAGCUAACGCGAUAAGUAGACCGCCUGGGGAGUACGGUCGCAAGACUAAAACUCAAAUGAAUUGACGGGGGCCCGCACAAGCGGUGGAGCAUGUGGUUUAAUUCGAUGCAACGCGAAGAACCUUACCUGGCCUUGACAUACUAAGAACUUUCCAGAGAUGGAUUGGUGCCUUCGGGAACUUAGAUACAGGUGCUGCAUGGCUGUCGUCAGCUCGUGUCGUGAGAUGUUGGGUUAAGUCCCGCAACGAGCGCAACCCUUUUCCUUAUUUGCCAGCGGGUUAUGCCGGGAACUUUAAGGAUACUGCCAGUGACAAACUGGAGGAAGGCGGAGACGACGUCAAGUCAUCAUGGCCCUUACGGCCAGGGCUACACACGUGCUACA